UUGAAUUAAUUAGUAAUUAAUUAACAUUAUAUUUAUUUUAAAAUAUCAGUAUGUUUUAUUAUCCAAUUAUAAUGAAGAUUACUAAUUAUUAUUUCUCAUUCUUUAUCGCAAUUUCUUAAUUUCCAAGUAAUUAGCAAAAAUGCCUGACUGACUGUGGACUGUGGUUAGGUUACUGUCAUUGCCUAUUACUCUCACGUGGAAUUAUACAACCAAAAUUCAGUAAAAACUAAAACUAGUUGUUUUUGGGAUCACACAUUUUGGCUCUUCCCCGAUUACAAUUCCCAUUACCAAAAUAAAUAAACAAAGAAAUAUUUGUUGUAGUUUCUCCUUUUGGGCCCUAGCUUAUGGCUUAAUAAUUUCACAAGUAUACGAAUGUUCGUUAGCCUAAAUUAUAAUUAGUUUAGACAAUACAUAAAACUUAUAACACUAAUUAACAAUUUGGAUAUUAAUCAUUAGCUAUUCUCAAUACUAAUAGGCUAAUGCUUACUUAACUAGUAGACUAUAAUAGUUUUAACAAAAAUAAUUAAUUAUAAUCCUUAUUUAACUAGUAGACUAUAAUAGUUUUAACAAAAAUAAUCCUAAGAUCGAUUAAUGAUUUAUUAUUAAUUAAUAUCUCCAAUAAAAAUAAAACAAAUUUUAUUUUUUAACAUGGAGACUUUUGCGUUUUAGGCUUCUACCAUGGAAGUGACUUCUUCAUUUAAAGCUUACACCAUGGUAGAAGCUCAAACAACAGAAGUCUCUACCAUGAGGCAAGCUCAAAACAAAGAAGUCUAAGGCUAUUUGGAAUAUGAGCAGUAACUCAUGUGUAAGAAGAGAACAUUAAUUAGUUUUAAAUAGGAAAACAUUAAUUAACAAAGUGGGCUCCUUAACUAAACAUUAAUUAGCUUUUUUCCUUUACUCAACCUACAGUAUGCUUUUCUAGAGUUUUUUCCCUUUAAAAAAAAUAAAAAAUUAAAUUUGGAAUGCAAAAUGCAAAAACAUACGGAAUGAAAAAUGCCCAUCUAGCUAUGAAUUGAAAUAGUGCACACAUCACUUUCUUUCUUUCUCAUCUCAACUCAUCAGCAAAAUCAUUCAAACUUUAUCCGAAUUAACACAAAGUUGAAGUUUCAGAUCCAAUGCUACCAAUUAAUCAGAGAACAGGGACAUACCUUGCGAUUUGCCGGCGUUUUCCUUGCCACCACCGAAGCCGUUUUACCUCUCCUAGCCUUCACUCCCUUCGCCGCCGCUUGUCCCGCCUUAGCUGCUGUUGGAUCUACCAUACUCGCCGGCCGACCACUUUAACUCCCCUUCGCUUCUCUUCUGGCCGAAUUAUGGGUGGAGCGGAGGUGGAGCACCACGGGUAUCGUUGCCGGAAUUAUGGGUUGAGCGGUGGUGGAGCACCACGGGUCAUCAUUGCGGGUCUGACCUUUCUCUUCUUCGCCGGAAUUCUGGGUUUAGCGUAGGCCGUAGGCCCUUUUUUUGGAAUUCUAGGUUGAAGGUGGCCGGAAAUUUUUGCCGGAUUAUGGGUUGAAGGUGCCUGAAUCUGGUUGUUGGGUGUAUUUACCUCUGGUUGUUGGGUGUAUUUACCUCUACUGUAUUGAUGGAGGGAGUUGGAUUGAUGGGGGUAAAAAAUGUAAAAAAGUAAAGGGUAAAUAUAGAGAGGGGUAGUUGUGGAAUUUAAUAGGGCGGGUGAGUAUUUAUAGGGCGGGGUUUAGCGCUCCACUAAUAAUAACAAACAAGUGACCAGAAAAUGAACAUGAAUUGAGGUCCGUAUUCGUUUGUUUGUUAUUUAUCGAAUUUGCCGAUAAUUGUUAUUCGGAUCGGGUCGAAGGCCUUUUUCUGUGUGUUUAAUUUGUGUGAGUGGUUAACUGCGGGUUGUUUGUCAUAAACAAGUGAGAAUGUUGCUCAAAUCAUAUAUUCCAAAUGAUGCUUAUCUAAUCUGAUUGAGAAUUUAAAAUGACUAUUGUCAAUCUCUCUAUA
Spinacia oleracea (spinach) is the source of this 1959-nucleotide long non-coding RNA. RefSeq lists it as uncharacterized. The record is from RefSeq and is a predicted model, not a curated record. Lineage: Eukaryota; Viridiplantae; Streptophyta; Magnoliopsida; Caryophyllales; Amaranthaceae. The transcript is spliced from 2 exons.